Abrus precatorius (Indian licorice) is the source of this 636-nucleotide RNA transcript. It is a transcript of the gene named chaperone protein dnaJ 11, chloroplastic, with no coding region annotated. The record is from RefSeq and is a predicted model, not a curated record. The transcript has 3 exons. Lineage: Eukaryota; Viridiplantae; Streptophyta; Magnoliopsida; Fabales; Fabaceae.
GGCGUAGUCCCAACAUUUCAUAUUCUCGUUCUAUCCCUCGCCGGCGAAACACAUCUUUCGAUUCAUUUUCCGAUGCCGGCGGCGUUCAACCUCGCCGUUCUCCCCGCCGGAAGGCCACUUCAUUUCCCCUCCUCCGGCGACCGAUCCACCACAUUGCCACGCUGGACCUCGAUCCGAGCCGUCGCGGCGGAAGCGAUUGAAACGCGGCGGUCGGCGGCGAGCCUCUACGAAGUGCUGCGAAUCGAGCAAGACGCGUCGCUGACGGAGAUCAAAUCGGCUUACCGGAGCCUGGCGAAGCUCUACCACCCCGACGCAGCGGUGCGGCGGUCGACGGAGAGUGACGACGGAGACUUCAUCGAGAUACGGAACGCGUACGAGACGCUGUCGGAUCCGUCGGCAAGAGCGAUGUACGAUCUGUCGCUGAAGGCGGCGUUCGGCCGGAGACGCCGCCGGAUUCCGACGCCGUUGAGUCGAAACCGGUCUUCGGGGUAUUACUCGAGCCGAAGAUGGGAAACGGACCAAUGCUGGUAGAGAGAGAGAGAGAUUUUGUUAUUCGAACUUGCUUCGGCUAAUUAACAAAGAAAAUUGUGAAUUUCUAAAAGACAAGAAAAAGAAAAAUGCUGGUAGAGAGAGAGA